RNAcentral lists this ribosomal RNA (1170 nucleotides) under Triticum aestivum (bread wheat). RNAcentral's name for it is "partial small subunit ribosomal RNA". Lineage: Eukaryota; Viridiplantae; Streptophyta; Magnoliopsida; Poales; Poaceae. The record is from RNAcentral.
AUGGCCUUUACCCCCACGUCGGCGUCGGCCACCCUGCCGCCGUCGGCCCCUCCUCCUCCGGCGGCCACCAAGGGCACGCCCCGCCGCGCGCCAUGGAAUGCCGCGCCGCUGGCCGCGGCGGCCGCCUCGUCGACGGCUGCAUUGCUGGCCGCGACGCCGGCCGCGCGCGCCGCGGCGUUGUCCAAGGAGGACGUCGCCGGCUCGUUCACCAAGGUGGUGGACACGGUGGAUGUGGUGAUCGGCGUCGGCGGCAAGGUGGCCGAGCAGUCCUUCGUUGUGCUCAGGGCGCUGGGCGAGGCCGCUAAGCCGGCGCUGCCGGUGCUGCAGAGCGCCGGCGAGCAGGCCCUGAAGCUCGCCUCGCCGGUGGUCUCCGACGCCUCCAGGCAGGCCACGGAGGCGCUCCAGGGCGCCGGCGUCGACCUUGCCCGCUUCCAGUCUGCUUUUAAGACGGUCGCAGAUGCGGCGCAGCCGGCCAUCGGCGCCGCGAAGCCGAUCGCCUCCGAGACCGUCCAGACCAUCGGGUCCCUGGAAGGCACGGACUACGUCGUGGCCGCCGGAGCCGCGUUCCUCGCGUACCUGCUCCUGCCGCCGGCCUGGUCCCUGCUCUCAUACGGCCUACGCGGCUACAAAGGUGACCUGAGCCCAGCUCAAGCUCUGGACAUGGUCACCUCUCAAGGUUACCUUAUCAUCGACGUGCGAAGCGAGAACGACAAGGCCAAAGCCGGCGUGCCGCAGCUCCCCUCCAACGCAAAGAACAAGAUCAUCGCUCUGCCGCUUGAAGAGCUUCCGAACAAGAUAAAGGGAAUGGUGCGCAAUGCGAAGCGAGCCGAGGCGGAGAUCGCCGCGCUGAAGAUCUCCUACCUCAAGAGGAUCGGCAAGGGCUCCAACAUCGUCGUCAUGGACUCGUACGGUGACAACUCCAAGAUUGUGGCCAAGACACUCAACAGCGUGGGGUUCAAGAACUGCUGGGUCAUGGCCGGCGGCUUCUCCGGCCGAAAAGGGUGGGCGCAGAGCCGCCUUGGGACGGACUCCUACAACCUCUCCGUGGUCGAAGUCGUGAAGCCGUCACGGGUGAUUCCGGCGGCCGCUGAACGGUUCGUGACGGUCUCGUCGACUUCGACUCCCUCCAGGACGAGUCGCAAGCUUCUCCCUGGCAGUGUGGACAGCUGA